This 282-nucleotide ribosomal RNA is filed under the name uncultured Syntrophaceae bacterium. RNAcentral describes it as "partial 16S ribosomal RNA". It matches the Rfam family "Bacterial small subunit ribosomal RNA", at positions 1099 to 1382 of the family's 1533-position model. Lineage: Bacteria; Pseudomonadati; Thermodesulfobacteriota; Syntrophia; Syntrophales; Syntrophaceae. The record is from RNAcentral.
CAACCCUUGUCUUUAAUUGCCAUCAUUUAGUUGGGCACUUUAAAGAGACUGCCGGUGUUAAGCCGGAGGAAGGUGGGGAUGACGUCAAGUCCUCAUGGCCUUUAUGCCCAGGGCUACACACGUGCUACAAUGGGCGGUACAAAGAGAAGCAACCUCGCGAGGGUGAGCAAAUCUCAAAAAGCCGUUCUCAGUUCGGAUUGUAGGCUGCAACUCGCCUACAUGAAGUCGGAAUCGCUAGUAAUCGCGGAUCAGCACGCCGCGGUGAAUACGUUCCCGGGCCUU